This 78-nucleotide transfer RNA is filed under the name Candidatus Berkelbacteria bacterium. Its description in RNAcentral is "tRNA-Pro". It matches the Rfam family "tRNA". From Rfam's summary of the family: Transfer RNA (tRNA) molecules are approximately 80 nucleotides in length. Their secondary structure includes four short double-helical elements and three loops (D, anti-codon, and T loops). Lineage: Bacteria; Candidatus Berkelbacteria. The record is from RNAcentral.
CGGGGUGUAGCAUAGUUGGUCUAAUGCGCAGGGCUGGGGGUCCUGAGAUCGGCAGUUCAAAUCUGCCCACCCCGACCA